UGGCUUAGUGGUUAAAGUGCUAUGGCUGCUAACCAGAAGGUCGGCAGUUCAAAUCUGCC
Molecule: transfer RNA, 59 nt
Filed under: Loxodonta africana (African savanna elephant)
Lineage: Eukaryota; Metazoa; Chordata; Mammalia; Proboscidea; Elephantidae
Rfam family: tRNA
About the family: Transfer RNA (tRNA) molecules are approximately 80 nucleotides in length. Their secondary structure includes four short double-helical elements and three loops (D, anti-codon, and T loops).
Source: Rfam by way of RNAcentral